Molecule: non-coding RNA, 73 nt
Organism: Patiria miniata (bat star)
Lineage: Eukaryota; Metazoa; Echinodermata; Asteroidea; Valvatida; Asterinidae
Source: the annotation of a RefSeq genome assembly
GGCUGGAUAGCUCAGUUGGUAGAGCACAGGAAUGAUAAUCCCGAGGUCGGAGGUUCAAGCCCUGCUGCAGUCA